CCUACGGGAGGCAGCAGUGAGGAAUAUUGGUCAAUGGACGAGAGUCUGAACCAGCCAAGUAGCGUGAAGGAUGACUGCCCUAUGGGUUGUAAACUUCUUUUAUAUGGGAAUAAAAUGUUCCACGUGUGGGAUUUUGUAUGUACCAUAUGAAUAAGGAUCGGCUAACUCCGUGCCAGCAGCCGCGGUAAUACGGAGGAUCCGAGCGUUAUCCGGAUGUAUUGGGUUUAAAGGGAGCGUAGGUGGAUUGUUAAGUCAGUUGUGAAAGUUUGCGGCUCAACCGUAAAAUUGCAGUUGAAACUGGCAGUCUUGAGUACAGUAGAGGUGGGCGGAAUUCGUGGUGUAGCGGUGAAAUGCUUAGAUAUCACGAAGAACUCCGAUUGCGAAGGCAGCUCACUGGACUGCAACUGACACUGAGGCUCGAAAGUGUGGGUAUCAAACAGGAUUAGAGACCCUUGUAGUC
This 460-nucleotide ribosomal RNA is filed under the name uncultured bacterium. Its description in RNAcentral is "partial 16S ribosomal RNA". It matches the Rfam family "Bacterial small subunit ribosomal RNA", at positions 338 to 795 of the family's 1533-position model. The record is from RNAcentral.